UCAGGGACAGCACCCAGGUCCUGAGUUCAAGCCCCACAACUGACAAAAAAAAAACAGAAAAAAAAUAUAGGUCAGACAUGAGUCUAAACUAUCAAAACAAGAGGUAAAAGAUUUCAAAGUAGUGACAGUUUCAGAGUAUUAACAGUAGUGACAGCUUUUUAUCAGAUUAUCUUACUGCUUCAAAUUACCAUGUUUACCCAGUAUUUUAUCCUUUGCCAAGACAAAAACAUCCAAUAAAAGUGGAUUUUCUGAUCUACAUGUGAAAUUCCUA
Long non-coding RNA from Dipodomys ordii (Ord's kangaroo rat), 271 nucleotides. RefSeq lists it as uncharacterized. The record is from RefSeq and is a predicted model, not a curated record. The transcript is spliced from 2 exons. Lineage: Eukaryota; Metazoa; Chordata; Mammalia; Rodentia; Heteromyidae.